GCUGGGUGGCAUGUGCCUAUAGUUCCAGCUAUUUGGGAGGCUGAAGCUGGAGGAUCUCUUGAGCCCAGGAGUUCUGGGCUGCAGUGCGCUGUGCCGAUUGGGUGUCUGCACUAAGUUCGGCAUCAAUAUGGUGACCUCCCGGGAGCGGGGGGACCAUCAGGUUGCCUAAGGAGGGGUAAACUGGCCCAGGUCAGUAAUGGAGCAGGUCAAAACUCCCGUGCUGAUCAGUAGUGGGAUCACACCUGUGAAUAGCCACUGCCUCUUAUUUAAAAAAAAAAAAAGAAAAA
Molecule: signal recognition particle RNA, 287 nt
Filed under: Callithrix jacchus (white-tufted-ear marmoset)
Lineage: Eukaryota; Metazoa; Chordata; Mammalia; Primates; Cebidae
Description: Metazoan signal recognition particle RNA (ENSCJAG00000052381.2)
Rfam family: Metazoan signal recognition particle RNA
About the family: The signal recognition particle (SRP) is a universally conserved ribonucleoprotein.
Source: Rfam by way of RNAcentral